AUGCUCAUGUACGUCGACUGUCUGGAUCUGUCCACUGUGAAUUUCACUGGGACAGGAGGCCCGCCGCCUACGCACAAGUUUGCUGUUUCUGCAUGGACUUACGACGCUGUCAAGGUUGUGCUUACAGUAGACAAGGUCAUUGAUACCAAGUAUGGAAAACUGCAGGUGAUGGCCAAGCAUGCUAUAGACUACAGCGUGUUUGGGGGGCCUCAAAACUUUGGAAAGUGGAUGGACGUGCACUCAGCUCCAUCUUGCCCUACUGAGGCGAGGGCACCUGUUGAGCAUCUAAUUGGGCAGUUUGCAUCCAGAAUGACUGGCUUGCUCGGGAAGUUGGUUGAGGGUUGGACGUCCCUUAACGGCUCUGACAGCGACGCGGUCGCGAGGCAGUUCACUACAUUUGUCCCAGAACGGUCACAUCGGCCAACUGGUUGA
RNAcentral lists this ribosomal RNA (432 nucleotides) under Triticum aestivum (bread wheat). Its description in RNAcentral is "partial small subunit ribosomal RNA". The record is from RNAcentral. Lineage: Eukaryota; Viridiplantae; Streptophyta; Magnoliopsida; Poales; Poaceae.